UACAGAGGGUGCAAGCGUUGUUCGGAAUUAUUGGGCGUAAAGCGCGUGUAGGCGGCUUUCUAAGUCUGGUGUGAAAGCCCGGGGCUCAACCCCGGAAGUGCACUGGAUACUGGAAAGCUAGAGGGCGAGAGAGGAGAUUGGAAUUCAUGGUGUAGGGGUGAAAUCCGUAGAUAUCAUGAGGAACAUCUGUGGCGAAGGCGAAUCUCUGGCUCGUUUCUGACGCUGAGACGCGAAAGCGUGGGGAGCAAACAGG
Molecule: ribosomal RNA, 253 nt
Filed under: uncultured bacterium
Lineage: Bacteria
Description: partial 16S ribosomal RNA
Rfam family: Bacterial small subunit ribosomal RNA
Source: RNAcentral